UCCCUACGGGAGGCAGCAGUGGGGAAUAUUGGACAAUGGGGGAAACCCUGAUCCAGCGACGCCGCGUGAGUGAAGAAGUAUUUCGGUACGUAAAGCUCUAUCAGCAGGAAAGAAAAUGACGGUACCUGACUAAGAAGCCCCGGCUAACUACGUGCCAGCAGCCGCGGUAAUACGGAGGAUGCGAGCGUUAUCCGGAUUUAUUGGGUUUAAAGGGUGCGUAGGCGGACUGUUAAGUCAGCGGUAAAAGCCCGGGGCUCAACCCCGGCGAGCCGUUGAAACUGGCUGUCUUGAGAUGUCGAGAGGUA
This 305-nucleotide ribosomal RNA is filed under the name uncultured bacterium. Its description in RNAcentral is "bacterial SSU rRNA". It matches the Rfam family "Bacterial small subunit ribosomal RNA", at positions 335 to 659 of the family's 1533-position model. The record is from RNAcentral.